CCCCUUCCCUUCCUCACUGUAGCUGCUCGCUGCUCAGGAGAUGAAUAAAGAGCCCGAGUCACGUGUCGAGCUGGACUCAAGCCGUGAAGAUGAAGGUGGGCUCCACUGUGGAGGUGAAGACCACCCAGGGUUCAUCCAGCGAGGCCGUCAUCAGUGAACUGACCCACGCCAGCCUCUACACUGUGGUGCUGAUGAGGAGAAUGAGCCUUCGUCCAGUGAGGAAGAGGAGGACGACAGGAGGAGGCUUAACGAUGAGCUGCUGGGAGGAGUCUGCAGCAUCGAGAACCAGGAGGAGGAGCCAAGCAGCUGGUACCUCGUGGUAGAAACUCAUCGGAAAAGCAAAACAAGCGGCCGAGACAGAUCGAGAAACUGCAGAAUCUACAUCGUUCAUGACGAAGUGAAGGACAAAUCGUUUGAGCUGGAGCUCAGCUGGGUCGGAGAAGUCACAAAUGGACGACACGAGCUGGUUCCUAAAGAUGUUCGAGAGGAAGCAGAGAAAUACGCCAAGGAUUCUUUAGAGGAGGACGAAGACUCUGAUGAAGACAACAUGUGAACCCGUCCCCUCGUCCCCGCCCACAUCUGGGACUCCGCCCUCAACCUUUUAUAUUGUUCACCUGUAAUUUGAGAAUAAAUAAAGUUUGAAACCAGUUGAAGAGCUUC
Molecule: long non-coding RNA, 660 nt
Organism: Limanda limanda (common dab)
Lineage: Eukaryota; Metazoa; Chordata; Actinopteri; Pleuronectiformes; Pleuronectidae
Exons: 7
Source: RefSeq, a predicted model, not a curated record